This 434-nucleotide ribosomal RNA is filed under the name uncultured bacterium. RNAcentral describes it as "partial 16S ribosomal RNA". It matches the Rfam family "Bacterial small subunit ribosomal RNA", at positions 29 to 506 of the family's 1533-position model. The record is from RNAcentral.
AACGAACGCUGGCGGCAUGCCUAACACAUGCAAGUCGAACGAUUGCCUUCGGGUGAUAGUGGCGCACGGGUGCGUAACGCGUGGGAAUCUGCCCUUAGGUUCGGAAUAACAGCUGGAAACGGCUGCUAAUACCGGAUGAUAUCGCGAGAUCAAAGAUUUAUCGCCUGAGGAUGAGCCCGCGUUGGAUUAGGUAGUUGGUGGGGUAAAGGCCUACCAAGCCGACGAUCCAUAGCUGGUCUGAGAGGAUGAUCAGCCACACUGGGACUGAGACACGGCCCAGACUCCUACGGGAGGCAGCAGUGGGGAAUAUUGGACAAUGGGCGCAAGCCUGAUCCAGCAAGGCCGCGGGAGUGAUGAAGGCCCUAGGGUUGUAAAGCUCUUUUACCCGGGAAGAUAAUGACUGUACCGGGAGAAUAAGCCCCGGCUAACUCCGU